Molecule: long non-coding RNA, 440 nt
Organism: Zingiber officinale
Lineage: Eukaryota; Viridiplantae; Streptophyta; Magnoliopsida; Zingiberales; Zingiberaceae
Exons: 3
Source: RefSeq, a predicted model, not a curated record
UGUAUGUAUUUAUGUUUGCAUUUUCUUCAAUUGUACUGGUGAAAGUGUGAUUUGUAUGGUGUUGUAUGCAUUUGCAAGUCUUUACGUAUGUAUUUUCUGUAUCAGGAUGUAAUGAACAUAUUCAUAUAGGACCUGUCUUUUUUUUUUAUAUAUACAUCUAUUUGUUUCUCAACCACCUCUUAGGUCAAAGAGUACAUACUGUACACCAAAGAGCCCUACAACUAUGAUCCACAUGUUGCUUCUGAUUGAAUAAGGAUGGCGUCAGCAAAAGCACCGAUCACUUUGUGUGUUUCUUCAAUUGUAUUGGUGAAGGUGUGACUCUAAGGUGUUGUUUGCAUUUGGAAUUGAACUGGGUGUCGAUUUGUCAGAGAAACAAGUCAAUUUAUAGAAGUGUAUUUCAAAAGACCAAGUGAUGGAGGAUCUUCAGUUACAAAUCAGGA